AUUUGUCUCCGCCUUACAGUUUUCAGUGUUACUAAACAACAAGCCGUAAAUUAUAACAGUCAGUUGUAUUUGGGCCUAAUAGUUAUAUACGCCGAAAGCUUUACCGCACCUCGUAGGAUCAGCUUGUGCGUCUUACUUAACACAAACAGGCACAACGAUCCCGUUUGUUAGAGUGAGAGCCAGAACAGUGCGAUGGCGUUGGUGACAAGAAUGGUAAGAUGGACUGACUUAUUUUCUUAAAUCUGUGUAUUCUAUCCCGAGUUGCUAUAAGAAAACCAGGCAUUGUGUUUCAACUUGAAUUGCGCGUUGUCUAUUUUCAUGGGUGUAAUGGGUGUAGACCUAAAAAUUUACCAGUAUGUUUUUGUGUUGCACUUUUCCAAGAGGCUGAAAUCCUGAAGUCAGUUGAUGUUACUAUCAUCUCCGGGCUCCCUUGAUCUUUGUAACCAAUCACAGUCUUCAUUGUAUGACAUCACCACAGUGGUCAAUGUUUUUCUUAUUUUCAAACUAAAGGCUUUCACCCAUUGAGGAGGUGGCAGGUAUGGCUAAGUGCUCUAAUCCUCUGACCUGUGAUUUCAAGGUCACAAGUUUGGGCCUUAUUAUUAUUAUUAUUAUUAUUAUUAUUUAUUUUUUUUAAUUUAUUAAAUAGAUGAACAUGUUCUUAUAUUUUGUAUUUAUGACAUGUCCCUUAACAAAAACCUUACACAAUAAAACGAGUACUUUGCAAAUCUUUGCACCUUGCUGCUUAACAGAAAACACUGGUUUUAAAUAAUGUGGUGAUGUCAUACAAUGAAGACUAUGAUUGGUUAAAGAAGUGCAGCACAAGCCCCUCCCAUGUUGACCCAGGGAUGCAAUGAACUCAGGAAAAGCAGAACGUGCUUGUUUGUUUUUUAUUUAUUUUUACGAAACUGCACGGAGCAGUUCAUCCUUGUUCCAUCCAAUCGCAUUCAUUUAUUCCUGUACUUCGCCCCAGUAUCCUGAAACUGAGAAAACACAGAUAACAGUUUUACAGUUAUUUCAGUUGUAAAACAUUUGUUUGUGUUAUUUAUUUUAAUAGGAAGUGUUCAGCAUCAACAUCCUAACUUUCAUUGAAUGAUAUAUAACAGCCUGUUUUUCUGUGUGGUUUCUCUAUGGUAGAAGGAGCUGCCCAUUCAAAUCUGGUCAUCAGAGCCCAUGUCAACUUGCACAAACACCUCCAGGCCAGUCUGUUCUGGGGGCACCUCAACUCGCUCCCCCACCGCUGGCCAGUUCUCUCCAUCUGCUCUUAAGUUGUGGUCCCGUGUCUAUGCGGGAUGCUCUUGUGUUUUUGCAUUUGUUUCAUACAAAUUUAUUCCCCAUACUGCUGUCAAUUUGAAGAGCCUUCCUGUUAGGCUCUUGCAGUGUUUUGCCAGUGUAUUGCAUAUUUUAAUGUGUAUCGCUUUAUGUUAUUAAAAAAAUCAGCUGAAA
Non-coding RNA from Paramormyrops kingsleyae, 1443 nucleotides. Lineage: Eukaryota; Metazoa; Chordata; Actinopteri; Osteoglossiformes; Mormyridae. The record is from RefSeq and is a predicted model, not a curated record.